GAGCAGCACAUCUUCUUCAACGCCACGCCUUCUCGCCUUCAUCCCUGCCUCCGGUACCCUCGCCGGCUCUCCCCAGCGCCGCUCCUCCCUCCUGUGUGAUUCUACAGUUCGGCCCCUCGCUGCAGCCUCCAUCCCCGCAGAUAAUUAGAUGGCUGCGAGUCAUGGCAUAUCAGGUCCUAGCCUUCCACCAAGCAGUGAACCGUUCGAAAUGUUUGAGGUUCCUCCGGAUCCUUGUACUGAAACUGGAAAGAAAGUGAAGAAGCAUGCAGCCUCAAGAGCAGCAAUAUGGCUCCACUUCACUAGGGUUCCCAAUGAGCCAGACCGCGCUUCAUGCAACUAUUGUGGACAGACAGUGGGUGUCCAUUCAUCGAGGAGUGGUACUUCUAGUAUGAACAACCAUGCUAAGAUCUGUAAGAAGUAUGCUAUUAUCAAGUCAGGGAGUCGGACCAAUCAGACUGAACUGAGGUUCCAACUUAGUGCUGAUGGUAGUACUGCCAUUCCAGUUCCAUGGCAAUACAAUGAGGAAGAGGUAAGGGUAGCCUUUGCUCAGAUGAUUGUUGUGUAUGAGUUGCCAUUCAUUUUCUCUGAGAAGGAAGGGUUUAGGUAUUUUAUGAUGAAAGCUUGUCCUAGAUUCCACAUUCCAUCUAGGACUACAAUUUAUAGAGAUAUUAUGGGCCUCUAUGCUGCAGAGAAACAAAAGCUAAAAAAAUACUUCAUGAAUUCUCAUCAAACAGUGAGCCUCACAACUGACACUUGGACCUCCGCUAAACUUCAAAAUUACAUGGUUCUUACUGCCCAUUACGUUGAUAUUGACUGGAAACUUAACAAGAAAAUCAUUAGCUUUGUCUUGGUAGAUAGUCACAAAGGGGAGGCUAUUGGAAAGCACUUGAUAAGUUAGUGAUUGAGUGGCGGAUUGAGACAGUGUGCAGUAUUACCGUAGAUAAUGCAUCAUCAAAUGAUACUUGUUUACAAUACAUGAAGAGUUCUCUAAAAAAUCGGGGUGGGGCUGUUGCGAAAGGUUUAUAUCUUCACAUGAGGUGUGUGGCUCAUAUUGUUAAUCUUGUGGUUCAAGAUGGGUUGAAGAUAAUGUCUCAUCCUAUUCAACGCAUUCGAAAUGUUGUCAAGUAUGUGAGAAGCUCAACUGCAAGAAUGAAUAGCUUUAAAAAAUGUGUCACAAUCAGCAAGGUAACUAGCAAAGGACACCUCUCUCUUGAUGUAUGCACUAGAUGGAACUCUACAUUUUUAAUGUUGGAGACAAAAGUGACAUUUGAGAGGGCAUUUGAUCAACUUCGACUUCAAGAUCCCUCCUAUAAGGAAGAGUUAGAUUUGCUUGGGGUUGAAGGAGAAACCGGUCCUCCAACUCAUGACGAUUGGGUUUAUGCUAGUGAGUUCAAAUUGUUCCUCCAACACUUCUUUGUGCUGACAAAUAAGGUUUCUAGCACUAAGUACAUCACGUCCAACACAUUCUUUGAAGAGGUUUCUGCUAUUAAUUACUUGCUAGAUAAGUGGAGUGAACGUGUGAUAUGUGGUGAUGAUGAAGUGUUCAAAAGCAUGGCUGUUAAGAUGAAGGACAAAUAUGAUAAGUAUUGGGGCGAUCCAGAGAAAAUGAACAAAUAUAUAUUUAUUGCUGCUAUUCUUGAUCCUAGGACCAAGGAAUCUGAUUUCUUCAAGGAUACGAUCCAGCGGACAUAUGGGG
This is a long non-coding RNA of Triticum dicoccoides, 1696 nucleotides long. RefSeq lists it as uncharacterized. The transcript is spliced from 3 exons. Lineage: Eukaryota; Viridiplantae; Streptophyta; Magnoliopsida; Poales; Poaceae. The record is from RefSeq and is a predicted model, not a curated record.